Molecule: ribosomal RNA, 304 nt
Filed under: uncultured soil bacterium
Lineage: Bacteria
Description: bacterial SSU rRNA
Rfam family: Bacterial small subunit ribosomal RNA
Source: RNAcentral
AGAGCGAACGCUGGCGGCAGGCCUAAAACAUGCAAGUCGAACGCCGUAGCAAUACGGAGUGGCAGACGGGUGAGUAACACGUGGGAACGUACCCUUUGGUUCGGAACAACACAGGGAAACUUGUGCUAAUACCGGAUAAGCCCUUACGGGGAAAGAUUUAUCGCCGAAGGAUCGGCCCGCGUCUGAUUAGCUAGUUGGUGAGGUAACGGCUCACCAAGGCUACGAUCAGUAGCUGGUCUGAGAGGAUGAUCAGCCACACUGGGACUGAGACACGGCCCAGACUCCUACGGGAGCAGCAGUUAGG